GUUGAUAAGGUUAAGUGAAUAAGGGCGCACGGUGGAUGCCUUGGCACUAGGAGCCGAUGAAGGACGGGACUAACACCGAUAUGCUUUGGGGAGCUGUAAGUAAGCUAUGAUCCAGAGAUUUCCGAAUGGGGGAACCCAAUAUCUUUUAUAGGAUAUUACUUUUCAGUGAAUACAUAGCUGAUUAGAGGUAGACGCAGAGAACUGAAACAUCUUAGUACCUGCAGGAAGAGAAAGAAAAUUCGAUUCCCUGAGUAGCGGCGAGCGAAACGGGAAGAGCCCAAACCAACAAGCUUGCUUGUUGGGGUUGUAGGACUCCAAUAUGGUAGUCUGUUAGUAUAGUUGAAGGAUUUGGAAAAUUCCGCUAAAGAGGGUGAAAGCCCCGUAGACGAAAUGCUAACAACACCUAGGAGGAUCCUGAGUACGGCGGAACACGAGAAAUUCCGUCGGAAUCCGCGGGGACCAUCCCGCAAGGCUAAAUACUCCCUAGUGACCGAUAGUGAACCAGUACCGUGAGGGAAAGGUGAAAAGCACCCCGGAAGGGGAGUGAAAUAGAUCCUGAAACCGUGUGCCUACAACAAGUCAAAGCUCGUUAAUGAGUGAUGGCGUGCCUUUUGUAGAAUGAACCGGCGAGUUACGAUUGCAUGCGAGGUUAAGUCGAAGAGACGGAGCCGCAGCGAAAGCGAGUCUGAAUAGGGCGAAUGAGUAUGUAGUCGUAGACCCGAAACCAUGUGAUCUACCCAUGUCCAGGUUGAAGGUGCGGUAAAACGCACUGGAGGACCGAACCCACGUACGUUGAAAAGUGCGGGGAUGAGGUGUGGGUAGCGGAGAAAUUCCAAACGAACUUGGAGAUAGCUGGUUCUCUCCGAAAUAGCUUUAGGGCUAGCCUCGGAAUUGAGAAUGAUGGAGGUAGAGCACUGUUUGGACUAGGGGCCCAUCUCGGGUUACCGAAUUCAGAUAAACUCCGAAUGCCAUUCAUUUAUAUCCGGGAGUCAGACUGCGAGUGAUAAGAUCCGUAGUCGAAAGGGAAACAGCCCAGACCACCAGCUAAGGUCCCAAAAUAUAUGUUAAGUGGAAAAGGAUGUGGGGUUGCACAGACAACUAGGAUGUUGGCUUAGAAGCAGCCACCAUUUAAAGAGUGCGUAAUAGCUCACUAGUCGAGUGACCCUGCGCCGAAAAUGUACCGGGGCUAAACAUAUUACCGAAGCUGUGGACUACACCAUUAGGUGUAGUGGUAGGAGAGCGUUCUAAGGGCGUUGAAGGUCGAUCGUGAGGACGGCUGGAGCGCUUAGAAGUGAGAAUGCCGGUAUGAGUAGCGAAAGACAGGUGAGAAUCCUGUCCACCGUAUGACUAAGGUUUCCUGGGGAAGGCUCGUCCGCCCAGGGUUAGUCGGGACCUAAGCCGAGGCCGAUAGGCGUAGGCGAUGGACAACAGGUUGAUAUUCCUGUACCAGUUGUUUUUGUUUGAGCAAUGGAGGGACGCAGUAGGCUAAGGAAUGCAUGCGAUUGGAAGUGCAUGUCCAAGCAAUGAGUCUUGAGUAGAGUUAAAUGCUUUACUCU
RNAcentral lists this ribosomal RNA (1556 nucleotides) under Enterococcus faecalis. RNAcentral's name for it is "partial 23S ribosomal RNA". It matches the Rfam family "Bacterial large subunit ribosomal RNA", at positions 1 to 1551 of the family's 2925-position model. The record is from RNAcentral. Lineage: Bacteria; Bacillati; Bacillota; Bacilli; Lactobacillales; Enterococcaceae.